This 229-nucleotide long non-coding RNA is filed under the name Carica papaya (papaya). RNAcentral's name for it is "long non-coding RNA (CPAP_LNC006850)". The record is from RNAcentral. Lineage: Eukaryota; Viridiplantae; Streptophyta; Magnoliopsida; Brassicales; Caricaceae.
UAAAAAUCAACAUUCAUUUCUUUAAAAAUCAUACCACAAUCAUAAUAUUAAAACAACAUCCAUUUCUUUAUUUUUCUAAAAAGGCAUCUUAGAAUGUGCAAUAAAAUACUGAAUCUCUUACCGAUACCGAUGACUCUUUGUAAACUAAUCCCCGUUCUCUUCAAACUUUCUUCCUUUCUCUCUCUAAAAUUUGGUCUUUGAAGGUGAAAAUUAGUGAGGAAGAGUGGGG